Molecule: long non-coding RNA, 1652 nt
Filed under: Solanum tuberosum (potato)
Lineage: Eukaryota; Viridiplantae; Streptophyta; Magnoliopsida; Solanales; Solanaceae
Description: long non-coding RNA (STUB_LNC010469)
Source: RNAcentral
UUUCGGUGACCUCAAGGUUAUGAGCCUUGCGAGCUAUCAGAUUGUUGUACCACAAGCCAAAGAUAAGAACUGAAAACUAAUAGAUAAAAAGAAUUAAAUGUUCCCCUCCACCCUAUCAGUACAAAUAGAAUAAAAGUGAAACAUCAAAAAGAUAGAGGGGAACAAAUGAGAGUUCAACCAUUCAUAUAUAUCUUCUUAUAUGGCCUAUGAAUAGUUCAAGCCAAGCUUCCAGUAAUAUCAUCAUAAUCAUAAAGUUGCAACAAAUUGGGAAAUUACUUGGCAACCUUAUCAAUUGAAAUCUACAUGAAAUGACCAUAGACCAAACUAUAAGCAUGUGCAAAUUGUGAUAAAACUCUAUUGUAUAUUUAGAAAAUUAGAAGAUCUUUGUUCUUUUAUUCGAUGAGUCAAUCUAUCCAUUCUCAUUAGGGGAAUUCCUUUAUCUUAUCAAGAGUCCUAGGGAAAUAAAAAAUAACUUCGAGGUAUUUUUUUCGAUUCUUUAAACCUCUUCAAAUUUUAUCAUCCUACAUCUCAGGACUCAGAUAGCUUUGAAGUUAUUUUCUAUUCAAGCAAUCCAAUUUUCACAAAGGACGAUAAAUUUUAAGUUGUCAUAAUAUUAAACAAAGAAUAGCUAAGGAUAUGACUACAUUAAAGGUCAUUAUGGAUAUUGUGGGAAGAACACACAUGAAAAGCAAGCUUUGUAAACAUAAAUUUGGCUAACCAAGUUGUGUCGGUGAUCCUAGUUUCAGCAUCUUGCCUGAAUAUUUUGUCACUGCUACUUCCCUUUCUUGCAAAUCGUAGUUGAAGAGGUCAUAUUCCUUUUGUUUCUUUUAGUGGCACUUGUAAUCCAUUGAAUUAGGAUGUUACAGAAUUUGAUAAUAUAUUUACUAAGAUCAAUGGAUCAUUCUUCUAACAAUUUGAACAUAACUUUCAUCAAACAUGUUAUGUACAAAGGAAUAUGACUACAAAAUGAGGAUAGAAAAGUAACUGCAGUUUCCGUGAGCUCAAGGUUAUGAGCCUUGCGAGCUAUCAGAUUGAUGUACCACAAGCCAAAGAUAAGAACUGAAAACUAAUAUAUAAAAAGAAUUAAAUGUUCCCCUCCACCUUAUCAGUACAAAUAGAAUAAAAGUGAAACAUCAAAAAGAUAAAGGGGAACAAAUAAGAGUUCAACCAUUCAUAUAUAUCUUCUUAUAUGGCCUAUGAAUAGUUCAAGCCAAGCUUCCAGUAAUAUCAUCAUAAUCAUAAAGUUGCAACAAAUUGGAAAAUUACUUGGCAACCUUGAAAUGACUAUAGACCAAACUAUAAGCAUGUGCAAAUUGUGAUAAAACUCUAUUGUAUAUUUAGAAAAUUAGAAGAUCUUUGUUCUUUUAUUCGAUGAGUCAAUCUAUCCAUUCUCAUUAGGGGAAUUCCUUUAUCUUAUCAAGAGUCCUAAGGAAAUAAAAAAUAACUUUCGAGGUAUUUUUUUCGUUUCUUUAAACCUCUUCAAAUUUUAUCAUCCUACACCUCAGGACACAGAUAGCUUUGAAGUUAUUUUCUAUUCAAGCAAUAAAAUUUCCACAAAGGACGAUAAAUUUUAAGUUGUCAUAAUACGAAACAAAGAAUAGCUAAGGAUAUGACUACAUUAUAGGUUAUUAUGGAUAUUGUGGGAAGAACAC